Oncorhynchus gorbuscha (pink salmon) is the source of this 1596-nucleotide RNA transcript. It is a transcript of the gene named transmembrane protein 269-like, with no coding region annotated. NCBI's taxonomy places the organism in Eukaryota, Metazoa, Chordata, Actinopteri, Salmoniformes, Salmonidae. The transcript has 9 exons. The record is from RefSeq and is a predicted model, not a curated record.
AAUUAUACGAUGAAACAUACAGAUUAUGAAAGCAAAUACAUUGUUUUGUUAAAACCAGAUGAAACCAAACCGCGAAAAAUCAAAACGUUGACAACCACCAUAUGGAAAUUAGCCAUAGCGACUUCCGACUGAUUAUGAUAGUGCGUCACAUAUGUUAAUGUUCAUUUAGAAAAUAGAUUACCAACUAUACUUGUGUUAUAACUAAAUCCAUCAAUAAAAUUAUGAUAUUCUCAUAAUGUCAUGUUGUACAGUACAGUAGCCAGACAAACGAAAGACAGUUUAUUGUGCGUCACAUCCGGUGGAAUAUUCUAGCGGAUUCUUCUGUUGGACUUUAAAAGCAGGCGCGCAGAGACGCAGACUGAGAUGCUUUUUUACAGCAUCAUCUUUAGGUCCUUCCAGCUGCUGUGCUGUGGGCAGACUGACGCAGAGAGAAUCAUGAUUCUGCUGACUCCAUCCUCUGGUUUCUUCCAGCGUACCAAUAAGCUCUUUCUAAGCGAGCAGGCCACGGGUGUCCAGCUCAAGGAGUUUGUACGCAAAAAUGCAGCCAAUGCUCUGUCUAUGGCCAACAUGCUCAUGGGCAUGGCCUCUAUUCUCUGCAGCCUGAACGGCCACCAACAUGCAGCCUGCUGGCUGGUCCUGAUUGGCUACCUGCUGGAUUUGGCAGAUGGGGCAGUUGCCAGACGACUUGAUGCAUGCUCACCACUAGGUGCUAAACUGGAUGAUUUUGCAGAUUUCACAACCUUUGGGAUUGCGACAUCAUUGCUCCUGAGGACACAUGCCUUAAUGGACAACAUCCUGUGCAUGUGCUACGUCCUGUCUGUGUUUGUCCGCCUCUGCUUCUUCUCCAGUGGCAUCCCCUUCAUGUACCGUGGCCUGCCAUGUAUCUACUCUUCCGCCAUCCUGGCCUGCCUCUCCCUGUUGACCGGAGGUAACAUGGUGAUCCUGCGGGUCACUGCUGUGGCCAUGAUCCUCUUCAUGGUCAACCAGGGCUUCUACCCUCACGACAGGGUCCUGGAGUCACAGGCCUGGAAGAAGGUGGUCUACGCUGGAGAGCGCCUCAGACAGAGACUUUACUGGAAGCCUAUGGCAGGAGCGGAUGAUCUCUGUCCACCACCAUCUAGCGCAACUCGUAGAACCUUCCCCUAAGUGUGCUGCAUCCAGGAGCCAGUAUUGUUUCUGUGUGCAACAAAGAGAACCCUCUGAAUCAGAACUCGGAGUUGUCAUGGUGUUCUGUUCCUCUUUCUCUCCGGCAUGUGUGUACUACCUGUUGUGGUCUGUCUCCUACAUUUUGUUCCCAACAUCUCUUUGGAGUUGCAAAGUGUAGUAGGAGUUAAAGGCCUUGCUCCAAACUCACACAUGGCUUGUCAACAGGCCGUCCGGCGGGGUUAACUAAAGCUCCCAGACUGCUGCUGCUAGCUAUCCACAGCGGAUCGAAAAAGGACGUAAGAGGACGUUUUAAUGUUUUUGUAAGAUUUAACUGCCUUUUUCAUCAUGACCACUUGAUGGAUAAUGUAAUGUACCUUAGCCAUUUUGUUUUUGAUUAAUACGGUGUUUGAAUGUCUAGUUAUGUUUUUACAAUACAAUGGCAGAAUUGUA